ACCUGCAUCGAAAGUGAUUUUGGUCCUGUUUAUGGCCUGAUCAUUGAUACUGCAGGGAGAGUAAAUAUAUGAAAGUCUUUCCCGUGUUUGGAGAUGCUGACCGUGCCUACCAAACCCUGUAACUUUCACACA
This is a non-coding RNA of Pelobates cultripes (western spadefoot toad), 132 nucleotides long. The record is from the annotation of a GenBank genome assembly. Lineage: Eukaryota; Metazoa; Chordata; Amphibia; Anura; Pelobatidae.